RNAcentral lists this long non-coding RNA (999 nucleotides) under Aquilegia coerulea. Its description in RNAcentral is "long non-coding RNA (ACOE_LNC001455)". The record is from RNAcentral. Lineage: Eukaryota; Viridiplantae; Streptophyta; Magnoliopsida; Ranunculales; Ranunculaceae.
AAAAUUUGUAACAUUGCAUUUAAGGGUAUAUGGCCCUGCUUACAGUUUCAAACAUUCAAGGUAAAUUGCUAUGAAAAACAAUAAUCAAAUUGUGCCGAAGUUAUAAAAUAGCAUUCAUAUUUCAUAGUACUACUUCAAUCAGUAACCAUCAAUCUUGUUACAACUUGUUCCAAAUAAUUAUCUUGUUGAUUCCCCAGUGAAGAACAAAAACAGUCAAGCAGAAUAAAAUAACUUUAGCUAUCACCCUUCUAAAAAUGAAACCAAUAAGAAGCAACGACAAGAAAUUCCCAUCAAAAUUCACCUCGAGAUGAAAUGUUCUCCCCUUUUUUCUCUUCCUUCAUCCUUUGAGAAGCAUCCUCAUUAUUAGAAUCAGAAUCUUGCAAAAACAAACAAUAAGAUCCAUUAAAACAUUACAAACCAAGAUCUAUAACACAACACAUUCCAUUCGAAAAAAAAAUUAAAAUGAUUCAUCAUAAGUAGUACAAAGAUCAAGUAGGUAUACCUUUGUUGUCUUCAACAUUCUCUUUCAACUGAUCAGGAGAAACAGGAGGAGUGAUCUUCUUGACCGUGGAGUGAGUAACAGUAGCUAGAUAUUAAACAUAUACUUAUACAGUAGAUGCAAGAUUACAAGUUUAGAACACAACAACAUCAACACAUUAUGUAUGUAGAAUGGAAAAAAAUUGGAAGUUUUUUUAAUCAAAUACUUAAACUCAAAAACACCCAAUAUCAGAUUAUAUCAUUAUCACAAUGUAAAUGUAAUGGGGGUACGAUUUAAGAAGAUGAACAAACUAAAACUGCAAAUAUUUGAAAUCUGAAACAAAACCCAAAUACCCAUUUUUAGAUCUUAUUAUUACCUUUCUUGUCACUAGAAGAAGGAGUGGUCGUGGUCUUCUUCUUCUCGAUGGCAUUAAUAGAUUUGAGAGAAGAAACACGAAGUGGAUGAUGAUGAUGAUGAAAAAGACUAGAACUUGGGAUCGGAGAAGAAAUAACCACAGAAGA